UCUUAAUUCAUAUUAAAGUGAUGAAAUUAAACAUUUUUUUUUGGUUUUUGUUAUGUUCAUAUUUAGAAUAGGAAUGUGAUUGUGUAAAUCCUAGGAAAUAUGAGAAAAUAUCUUAUAUCCCUAUUAGGACUAUAUUACCUAUUAAAUGUUGUAAUCUUAAAGAGAAAGUAUUCUUCCUAUUACUAUAAAUAAAGGCACAAUGAGGUGAAUUAAACACACCUCACAAUUAAAUUAAUCUGUCUUAUCUCUAAUAGUGGCUAGCCCCCUCUCUCUCUCUAAACCCUAGAUCGUUCAAUCAAAUAAGCCUACAACAGUUUUAAUCUUUUAAAACAUUCUAAAUAAUUACCUUAUGUUUUGAAAUUAGACAUUUUUUAGGUCAUCAAAAUAAAGUGAUGACGUCAUUAACGUUAAAUCAGGAUGUGAACAAAUAUUGAAACUUUCAAUCCCUAGUUUUGUUGGCGAAAAAGGAUAGAUUAUGGAUUCAAAGCUCCAUAAAUAACUUGAGAGUUAAAACCGACUUCAUCACUUGACGCUAAUAAUCUAACGUAGUUAAUUGAAAGAGAAACUUCUGUUUCGGUCCCUGGCUGACCACAAAUUUUUAGACUCAAAUUUAUUAAUUUGAAUAUUAUGAUUGAAGGACAAAAUAUUGAAUUGCAGUAUUAAUUAAGAAUUUUGAUAACAAAACUUAAUAAUUCCUCUCUAAAAUCAUGCAAAGUUUAAUACCAAAUAAGGAAUUUUAAUUUUUUUCUCAAAUUUAAAUUGUGUAAAAUUUGAUCACCUUUUUAAUUUUUUCUAAUAAAACGUUUAUUUUUAUUUUUAACUAUGAGUACGUUUUAAAUUUAAAAAGGGUACAUUUUAUAUAAAUAUGUUAGUACAUUACACAUAACAAAAGUGAAUAGAUUUAACAUAAAAAAGGUACAUUUUAUAUUAAAAAAUUAAUACAUUUUACAUAUCACAAAAUGAUACAUUUUACAUAUAAUAAAGUGGUACAUUAUUUUUUUAUUUUAUCAAAAAUGGAUACAUUAUAAAUAUAUGAAUGUGUACGUUAUAAAAUAUAUUAUGGAUACAAAUAAA
Molecule: long non-coding RNA, 1074 nt
Filed under: Malus domestica (apple)
Lineage: Eukaryota; Viridiplantae; Streptophyta; Magnoliopsida; Rosales; Rosaceae
Description: long non-coding RNA (MDOM_LNC010660)
Source: RNAcentral